This 25-nucleotide non-coding RNA is filed under the name Mus musculus (house mouse). Lineage: Eukaryota; Metazoa; Chordata; Mammalia; Rodentia; Muridae. The record is from RNAcentral.
UGUAAGCAACUAGCCAGGUGGUUUC